CCCAGACUCCUACGGGAGGCAGCAGUGGGGAAUAUUGGGCAAUGGGCGCAAGCCUGACCCAGCAACGCCGCGUGAAGGAAGAAGGCUUUCGGGUUGUAAACUUCUUUUAAGAGGGAAGAGUAGAAGACGGUACCUCUUGAAUAAGCCACGGCUAACUACGUGCCAGCAGCCGCGGUAAUACGUAGGGGGCAAGCGUUGUUCGGAAUGACUGGGCGUAAAGGGUGUGUAGGUGGUUUGAUAAGUUAGAUGUGUAAUACCCAGGGCUUAACUCGGGUGCUGCAUCUAAAACUGUUAGACUUGAGUACUGGAGAGGAUAGUGGAAUUCCUAGUGUAGCGGUGGAAUGCGUAGAUAUUAGGAGGAACAUCAGUGGCGAAGGCGACUAUCUGGACAGCAACUGACACUGAGGCACGAAAGCGUGGGGAGCAAACAGGAUUAGAUACCCGAGUAAA
This 450-nucleotide ribosomal RNA is filed under the name uncultured bacterium. RNAcentral describes it as "bacterial SSU rRNA". It matches the Rfam family "Bacterial small subunit ribosomal RNA", at positions 330 to 794 of the family's 1533-position model. The record is from RNAcentral.